This 253-nucleotide ribosomal RNA is filed under the name uncultured bacterium. RNAcentral's name for it is "partial 16S ribosomal RNA". It matches the Rfam family "Bacterial small subunit ribosomal RNA", at positions 524 to 776 of the family's 1533-position model. The record is from RNAcentral.
UACGUAGGGCGCAAGCGUUGUCCGGAAUUAUUGGGCGUAAAGAGCUCGUAGGCGGCUUGUUGCGUCGGUUGUGAAAGCCCGGGGCUUAACCCCGGGUCUGCAGUCGAUACGGGCAGGCUAGAGUGUGGUAGGGGAGAUCGGAAUUCCUGGUGUAGCGGUGAAAUGCGCAGAUAUCAGGAGGAACACCCGUAGCGAAGGCGGCACUCUGGGCCGAUACUGACGCUGAGGAGCGAAAGCGUGGGGAGCGAACAGG